CCUACGGGCGGCAGCAGUGGGGAAUAUUGGACAAUGGGGGGAACCCUGAUCCAGCCAUGCCGCGUGUGUGAAGAAGGCCCUCGGGUUGUAAAGCACUUUCAGUGAGGAAGAACGCCUGGUGGUUAAUACCCAUCAGGAAAGACAUCACUCACAGAAGAAGCACCGGCUAACUCCGUGCCAGCAGCCGCGGUAAUACGGAGGGUGCGAGCGUUAAUCGGAAUUACUGGGCGUAAAGGGCGCGUAGGUGGCUUGAUAAGCCGGUUGUGAAAGCCCCGGGCUCAACCUGGGAACGGCAUCCGGAACUGUCAAGCUAGAGUGCAGGAGAGGAAGGUAGAAUUCCCGGUGUAGCGGUGAAAUGCGUAGAGAUCGGGAGGAAUACCAGUGGCGAAGGCGGCCUUCUGGACUGACACUGACACUGAGGUGCGAAAGCGUGGGUAGCAAACAGGAUUAGAUACCCCAGUAGUC
Molecule: ribosomal RNA, 465 nt
Filed under: Vreelandella stevensii
Lineage: Bacteria; Pseudomonadati; Pseudomonadota; Gammaproteobacteria; Oceanospirillales; Halomonadaceae
Description: partial 16S ribosomal RNA
Rfam family: Bacterial small subunit ribosomal RNA
Source: RNAcentral